This is a long non-coding RNA of Drosophila busckii, 591 nucleotides long. RefSeq lists it as uncharacterized. The record is from RefSeq and is a predicted model, not a curated record. The transcript has 3 exons. Lineage: Eukaryota; Metazoa; Arthropoda; Insecta; Diptera; Drosophilidae.
UACAAACAGCGCAGCGGCAGAGCAGCUUGUGUUUUGUACCGUUACUUAGAACAGCCAAACAGCUGUGUGUGUGUGUGUCCGUACGUACGCCAAUGUUAAUGUGAGUGUGUUGAGUGGGAGUGUGAUUCUAUUACUGAGAAAGCGUUAAUUGCAAUUAAAGCAGCAACACAGCAUCAUCAACGACGACGAAGACGAUUGAGUGCAGUGCCUAAACAUAAACAUGUUAGACUAACUAACUAACCACAAGACAAGACGCUGACAAUAACAAUUACGACGACGACGGCAGCCAGACAGACGCAGACAGUUGUGUGAGCGCGCGAUUACAUAAAACAACAAAGGACAACAACUGGAAAUUAGUCAUUCAUAAUUUAUUGAUUGUGUGGCCCACAACUUAAAUAAGCGUCGUCUAUUCGGUCAGUCCUGUUUUGGUGACAAGCGUCGCAAGCACAGGAAAAAAAAUCAAUAGCCAGAGCAGCAGCAGAACAACAAGAUAACAAGCGAUAAAAGCAGGAGCCAGGCAGCACAUUAUCAAAAGGAAGACACAGACCAAAGCGGUUGACUGAGCAGCGCCACCACAACAACAACAGCAGC